Mus musculus (house mouse) is the source of this 2962-nucleotide long non-coding RNA. RefSeq annotates it as predicted gene 13110. The record is from RefSeq and is a predicted model, not a curated record. NCBI's taxonomy places the organism in Eukaryota, Metazoa, Chordata, Mammalia, Rodentia, Muridae. The transcript has 2 exons.
UUCAUAAGGGGAUUGGUUCACAAGAAGUCACCUGAGUAUGAUUCAUUCCUUGUUCAAACCCGUCUCGGGAGAGAUGAAUUAACAUCAAAAUACAAACAACGCCAGGCCUAUCCACAACACUGUGUGGAGUGACAAGGUGGCCCACAAUGUGGGGCUCAGCAGGACCAGUUCUGAGGACCAUUCUCAAGAUGGGGAAGACGGUAGUGAGGCAACCUUGGCUUUUCACCAGUGGGAACCCUGCUAAGUGGUUUAACAAGUGCUAUGAUUUCAGAAUGGGUUUUCUUUUGAGUGCCUGGUAAAGCCUGGCCCCAGGAUGGUAGUCUGGACUGGACUGACAUGCUGGAAUGGACCCCUCAGGGGUGGCUGGACAAAGGUGAAGGCCUUUCCCAAGAAAGCGAGCUCUGCUGAGAACUGAGUUCACACCAGUGAGGGCAGCUGCCGGGAGAGGCUGCCAGUCCCCUGGUCCGUCUCCUCUGCAAGCUCUACUUACCCUGCCUCCUGCCAGAGGUCGGAGCAGCAUGGCUGCUUGCCAGAAGCUGGACCAGUUCUCAGAGUCCCAGCUGCCAAAACCGGAAGCCAAACGAGCCUCUAUGUCCACGGUCACUCAGUCUUGGGAUUUCUACUCCAGUCACAGGAAACACACCAAGAUGGUGGAACUGGCCUUGGACCUGAGACGAGUGGCUGAUGGCUGAUCCUCAUUGUCUGUUUGCCUACAUUUGGGAAUCACCUAGGAGACUGAAGCUUUUUGGAGAGGAUUAAGGGUGGGGGAAGACCCACCUGUGAACUGUGGUCCCGAGGAGAGCCAGACAAGCUCUGGAAUUUGUCUGCUUUCUCUGCUCCCUGAUCCGCUGAGAUAUGAACAAGCAGCCCUCUGUUCCUGAUGCCACAGCCGCACGUCUCGCACUUCCGUGCUUCCUUUAUGGAAUGGAUAACACCCUCGAAUCAUGAGCCAAAGAAAAGGCUGCUUCAGCUUCCAGAGCUGCUGAAUUCAUCCAUGAGGGUCCCAUGUAGGACAGAAGACGCCAGAAGCUUGCUGGGAGAGCACUGUUCCCUGACCUACAUGAAAACCUGUAGUGACUGAGCAUGAGUUAAAGCAGAAGGAGGGUAUUAUGACAAGAGGAAGGUCUGGGAGACUCCCCUGUCCCAGGCUCCUCCCUUGAGGUCUCCUGCCCUCCUCAGAAUGCCCAGGAAGCAGGAGGCUGGAAGACCGGAGUAGACAGUCACCACAAGGUCCUGGAGGGGCUCUGUCCUCUAGACCCAGAUGCAAGAACUUCCGGGGGGGGGGGUGUGGUUAUGGGGAGGAUCACUCAGGGACCUCUGAGAGCUGUUUCACCAGAAUGAGGGUGAAGAAGAUUUGGGGUACAGGGCAAAGAAGUUACCUUCCCUCCAUGCCUUUGGGUUACAUCCCUCUGUGCCGUUGGGUUACAUCUCACUUCAGUGUUUCAUAUUCACAGAUGUGCCUGCUCCUUCCCUUGCCUGUGUUGGGGCUGGAGUAUCAGGGCUGUGACUCCCUCCUACAGGAACUAGCUGGGUCUGGAAUCACAGCUGAAGUCUAUAUAAGUCCUAGAGAACACAGAGAGCAAGAGAAAAAUUGCCCUGGGCUGGAGGAUAGAGCACCCUAAACUCAGGAUUAAUAAAAAUGUUCCUGGGAGGAGUGUGGGAGUUGCUAUAAUCAGCAAUUUAGACUGGCAGUAUGCUAUGAGCAUAUAAAUCCCUAGCUCCCCUUCACUUCCCCAUGGAGCAACUAACUGUCUUUCUCUUCUGUUAGCAAAAAUCCCAAGGUUUAUUCUCCAGAGCUGCAGAGACAGCCAGACUCCUCCAGUGGCUCUCUGGAAGAUCCCCUGGGAGACCAAAUGAGUUCCUCAAGAUGACAGCAUUCAGGAUCCACCACCCAGUGAUGGAGCUCAAAUAUGGACACAACCAGCCCUGAAUCUGAGAGUCAGCCAAGGGGCGACAGACAUCUGGCAUAUGCAUGUCCUAUACGAGGACAGGAAAGUACCUCAACCCUCAAGUUGCAAAAUUCAAGGAUGGAGAACAUAAAGUGGAAGACCACCAAUAGUGUGUUUUAAGAAAAUUGCCAAAAGUUAAAGUUUCCUCUGCAGAUGGAAAGAGAUACCCACUCUAGGACACACGCUCAGGAAAACAUGGAAACACCUCAGGCGGAAGAUUCUACGCUUUUCCAAGAGAAAAAGCAAGUCACACAAAACCUGAGGCAGUGGAAUCUCCCUUGGACUUCUCAGCUCCCCUGAAAGAAAAACAAUGCUGGCCAACACUCUAGCUCUGAAUGAAAAAUUUGUCUCCACACACUAGAAUUCUAUUCCCAGCUCAACUAUCCAUCAGCUAUUGCUGGGGAAAGAUGCCUUCUGACAUGUGAAGUCCUAAGAGUUAUAUCCUAAACUUUUCCUGGGCCAAGUCCUCACCCACUCUGUGUCCUCAGUGCACUCGAAACUUUGUAGCCUACUAGGCAAGUCAUGCAUUCAGCCUUGCCUUUCCAUAAAGAUGUGACCUCGAGGAAAACUGGAGGCCCUUCUAAUUGGGUCACUGCUGUAUUCUUGGGGCCUGUAACUGCAUAGCACAUAAGUGGUGUGCAAUGACUUUUUGCCUCUGUGUAUGUUUACCAUGGAGGCCAGAGGAGGGCCUUAGAUCCCCUAGUUACAGAAGCUUGUGAACCACCAUGUGGGUGCAGCAAGUGCUCUUAAGAGCUAAGUCAUCUUUCCAGCGCUUGCAGUGACUCUUGAAGAAUAAAAGCCACACAGUUCAAUCUGUUGGGCACCUGAUCUGGGUCAGCGAUAUUUUCCUGUGUUUCCCCCAAUGAACCUCUGCCAUCGUCGUCUGGAGGCUGAAGAGACACUUGGUGUAUGGCUCACCUGCUCUCAGGCCUAGAACUGCCACCUGCCACACAGGGGACAUCACUACUUUCUCAGUUGUUCCUUGCAGCCAAAAUCUACAUUCUGUCUUGGUA